This 497-nucleotide ribosomal RNA is filed under the name uncultured bacterium. Its description in RNAcentral is "partial 16S ribosomal RNA". It matches the Rfam family "Bacterial small subunit ribosomal RNA", at positions 28 to 507 of the family's 1533-position model. The record is from RNAcentral.
GACGAACGCUGGCGGCGUGCCUAAUACAUGCAAGUUGAGCGCUGAAGGUUGGUACUUGUACCGACUGGAUGAGCAGCGAACGGGUGAGUAACGCGUGGGGAAUCUGCCUUUGAGCGGGGGACAACAUUUGGAAACGAAUGCUAAUACCGCAUAAAAACUUUAAACACAAGUUUUAAGUUUGAAAGAUGCAAUUGCAUCACUCAAAGAUGAUCCCGCGUUGUAUUAGCUAGUUGGUGAGGUAAAGGCUCACCAAGGCGAUGAUACAUAGUCGACCUGAGAGGGUGGUCGGCCACAUUGGGACUGAGACACGGCCCAAACUCCUACGGGAGGCAGCAGUAGGGAAUCUUCGGCAAUGGACGAAAGUCUGACCGAGCAACGCCGCGUGAGUGAAGAAGGUUUUCGGAUCGUAAAACUCGGUUGGUAGAGAAGAACGUUGGUGAGAGUGGAAAGCUCAUCAAGUGACGGUAACUACCCAGAAAGGGACGGCUAACUACGUG